GCUGGGUAUGGUGGCGCGUGUCUUGUAAUCACAGCUACUUAGGAGGCUGAGGCAGGAGGAUCCCAAGUUCAAGGCCAGCCUGGGCAAGUUAAGUUAGUGAGAUCCUGUCUCAA
RNAcentral lists this small RNA (113 nucleotides) under Marmota monax (woodchuck). Lineage: Eukaryota; Metazoa; Chordata; Mammalia; Rodentia; Sciuridae. The record is from RNAcentral.